RNAcentral lists this ribosomal RNA (253 nucleotides) under uncultured bacterium. RNAcentral describes it as "partial 16S ribosomal RNA". It matches the Rfam family "Bacterial small subunit ribosomal RNA", at positions 524 to 776 of the family's 1533-position model. The record is from RNAcentral.
GACGAACCGAGAGAACGUUGUUCGGAAUCACUGGGCUUAAAGGGCGCGUAGGCGGGUGAUCAAGUCCGGGGUGAAAUCCUGCAGCUCAACUGGAGAACUGCCUCGGAUACUGGUUGCCUCGAGGAAGGUAGGGGUGUGUGGAACGUUCAGUGGAGCGGUGAAAUGCAUUGAGAUUGAACGGAACUCCGGUGGCGAAGGCGACACACUGGACCUUUUCUGACGCUGAGGCGCGAAAGAUAGGGGAGCAAACGGG